This 142-nucleotide ribosomal RNA is filed under the name Carchesium polypinum. RNAcentral's name for it is "5.8S ribosomal RNA". It matches the Rfam family "5.8S ribosomal RNA". From Rfam's summary of the family: 5.8S ribosomal RNA (5.8S rRNA) is a component of the large subunit of the eukaryotic ribosome. It is transcribed by RNA polymerase I as part of the 45S precursor that also contains 18S and 28S rRNA. Lineage: Eukaryota; Ciliophora; Oligohymenophorea; Sessilida; Vorticellidae. The record is from RNAcentral.
AUUUUCAACGAUGGAUAUCUAGGCUCCUAUACCGAUGAAGAACGCAGCGAAAUGCGAAACGCAAUGCGAAUUGCAGAACCGCGAGUCAUCAGAUCUUUGAACGCAAGUGGCGGCAGCUUCGGCUGUCAUGNUUGUUUCAGUG